AACGAACGCUGGCGGCAGGCUUAACACAUGCAAGUUGAACGGGAUUUGAUUGUAGCUUGCUAUAAUUAAUGAGAGUAGCGCACUGGUGAGUAACACGUGGGAACAUACCUUGAAGUGGGGGACAACAGUUGGAAACGACUGCUAAUACCGCAUAAUCCCUGAGGGGGAAAGAUUUUAUCGCUGAAAGAUGGGCUCGCGUCUGAUUAGAUAGUUGGUGAGGUAACGGCUCACCAAGUCGACGAUCAGUAGCCGGACUGAGAGGUUGAACGGCCACAUUGGGACUGAGAUACGGCCCAGACUCCUACGGGAGGCAGCAGUGAGGAAUAUUGGGCAAUGGGCGCAAGCCUGACCCAGCAAUGCCGCGUGAAGGAUGACGGUCUUCGGAUUGUAAACUUCUUUUAUCAAGGACGAAUAAUGACGGUACUUGAAGAAUAAGCCACGGCUAACUACGUG
RNAcentral lists this ribosomal RNA (453 nucleotides) under uncultured bacterium. RNAcentral's name for it is "bacterial SSU rRNA". It matches the Rfam family "Bacterial small subunit ribosomal RNA", at positions 29 to 507 of the family's 1533-position model. The record is from RNAcentral.